Molecule: ribosomal RNA, 253 nt
Filed under: uncultured bacterium
Lineage: Bacteria
Description: partial 16S ribosomal RNA
Rfam family: Bacterial small subunit ribosomal RNA
Source: RNAcentral
CGUAGGGUCCGAGCGUUGUCCGGAAUUAUUGGGCGUAAAGGGCUUGUAGGCGGUUUGUCGCGUCGGAAGUGAAACUCAGGGCUUAACUCUGAGCGUGCUUUUGAUACGGGCAGACUAGAGGGAUGCAGGGGAGAACGGAAUUCCUGGUGGAGCGGUGGAAUGCGCAGAUAUCAGGAGGAACACCGGUGGCGAAGGCGGUUCUCUGGGCAUUACCUGACGCUGAGAAGCGAAAGCGUGGGGAGCAAACAGGCUU